CUGGAGAGAAUUCUUCUUCUCCAGCACCCUCUCUCUCUCUCUCUCUCUCUCUCACACACACACACACACACACACGGAGAGAGAGAGAGAGAGAGAGAGAGAGAGAGAGAGAGAGAGAGAGAGAGAGAUCUUUGUU
RNAcentral lists this microRNA precursor (136 nucleotides) under Podarcis lilfordi (Lilford's wall lizard). The record is from RNAcentral. Lineage: Eukaryota; Metazoa; Chordata; Lepidosauria; Squamata; Lacertidae.